Molecule: long non-coding RNA, 2625 nt
Organism: Artibeus jamaicensis (Jamaican fruit-eating bat)
Lineage: Eukaryota; Metazoa; Chordata; Mammalia; Chiroptera; Phyllostomidae
Exons: 5
Source: RefSeq, a predicted model, not a curated record
UUCGCCCAGGGAAAGGUUGGGGGAAAGCCUUCCAGGAGGGAGUGGCACCUGCAAAGGCAGAGAAGCCCCAAAGGCAGGCCCUGAGCUGGGAAGCGCUCAGCCAGAGUGUGCCUGGGGGAGAAGGUGGAGGGAACGAGGGAAGGCUGGCCAAAGGGUGGAGAAGAACUGGCUCUGAAAAGUUUGGUCUCUAAAGUCUUGAUUUCAAACAAGAAGAACAGACAGUUCCAGCUUCUAAAUACUGGCAGAGAAGAACAGCUACUCUUUUUAGAGAGAGAAGAAAACACACCACCCACCACACACAACUUUCGGCCACAUUUUUGCCAGCAGCAUUCAAAACAAUUCCUGUGAAUUAGCCAAGGGAGCGCUCAGAAGGCUUUCACAUUGUGCAGUCUAACUGAGGAAUAAUUCCCAGCCCAAGUCUCGAAUUCCGUGGACCAAGCAGACCACAGCUCCCCUGGAGUUUGCAGGCUGGACUCGCUACAUGAGCAAGUCACAACUGGAAAAAUACAAAAAGAUGCUUGAUCUCUGUAGUAAGCAAAGGAAAGCACAUAUAAAACACCAAUGAGAUACUGUUUUCACUUAGGGGAUUCACUGAGAUUGAAAAAAAAAUAACUCCCCGUGUGGGCAACAUUAUGGAGGAUAAAGAAUUUACAAACACGAAGGAUGGGCGCUUGGCAACACACACAAACGUGGAAACAUGCCCAUGACCCACCCACAUCGCUGCGGGAAUGCAUCCUAAGGAGAUGAUCAGACAGGCUCGGAAAUAGAGUUACCCACGAUGGACCGCUGAAUGAAGAAAACAAGGUCAUGAGCAACCAGGACGGGGUCGACUUGCUUUCUGAAAACGGUGCGUGUGGAUGUGCACACCCACGCGCUGGGAGACGCCGGAGAGCCGCACACCCAAAUGUUACCUCUCUCCGUGGGGUGCCUUAAACCUACCAUUUCCUUUGCAUUUUCAUUUUUUUUUAAUUCAGAAAAAACAAUAAUGAUGUUUAUUUUUGUCUCAGGGGAAAAAUAAUCCCAAACCACUGGACUAAUCUGCGUCUUCACACUGUGACCAGUAAACCCCACGGAUCUGAUCCACUUUGGUUCUGGGGAGGUCUUUACCAGGACGACAGACAGCGUCUUUACCACCAGGACAACAGCACCAAGAAUCAGUAACAGCUGGAGUGGGCGCGGGGCGACGAAAAUCCCCAGAGACGGGGUGGAUUUAGCUGGAGAGUCUAAAAGAAAAACUGAGUCACACGGAGGCCAAGAGGCUCACACAAUGGCAUUUCAGACCCAGAGCUUGAGACGGAGCUCCCAACCCAAAACUCAGUCCCGAGUCCACCGUUUCAUUUCCCUUCGCAAUCCAAACCACGUGUGUGCCCGGAGGCCGGCCGGCAGUGUCCCAAAGGACUGACCCGACUCGCCUGCCCGGCCAGGCAGCAGAAGAGCUUUGGGCUUUUAAACUUCUGAGUGCCCAGGAGUGACUAACCUACAUUUUUUCUAGUUUAAAACACAUUCAAUGAUGCAAAAGUUCUCGUAACAGGCAUGCCACCUACAUAGCACCACAAAUAGUAGUGACUAUGGCCCAUUUUUCUAAUCUUUUUUAUUACUUUACGAGUAAUUUCUUUGUCAGGAGCGCAUUACCGCUGUAGUCAACACUUCAGAAUAGCGUUUGGACCCAUGGAAGUGGUAAUGAGAAGGGAUCACACAUUUGCUUGUUUGUUUAACAUCAUGGGUGGUUCUCAUGUUGUGUACAUGUGACUUAAGUAUGCUUCUUAGAGGCCCGUGAGCUGGGGGCACCCCACGUGGUCUCACCAGUUGGGUGGCCUGAGCUGCUCAGAAACCUAUGAACAGAAGCAUAGCUCUGUGGACAUGGGGAAAUUCUUCCUGAACUGUUCUCCUAAAGUGGCAACUUUUCAGGAAAAAUGUAAGCGUCCUGUUGACAAUUCCAUGCUCUUCUCCCCUUGCUGUGACAAUCGAAUCUGACAAUGACCCAGACCCCCCCCCCAGCACCCCACUCUCUCUGUUAUCAUAACUUGUCUCCACGUCUGCUUCCGAGUUUUUGUCCUCUCUGCUGCUGACCCAACAGCUGCCUGGAAACCCACUUUCUUCAACCCUGGUCUUUGACACCACCUUGCCCAGUGCAGGUCUAAGUCCCCCAUGGCAGACCUGGCUGUGGUGGGUGGAAGGGACAGGAGAAAAUGUGGGCACACCUCGGAGAAGCACUCCGGCCCCACCUCCAGCCCUUCUCACGGGCCCUCCCCUCUGCUACCCAUCUCUGCACCGGCACGUGCACAGGCCUAGCCCAGGUCCUGGGACUGAACACCAAGGAGGCUACUCUGCUGGCUCAUGGUCUCAUGAACGUGCAGAUAAAGAUGACUUCAAUCCUUUCUGAAUACUCUGUUACCAUCGAUGCAUCACUUUAUCUUCCCCUGUGGGGCCAAAGUGGGCAGCCAUAGUUUGUCUUCUAAACCUUUUAAAGGGAAAGGGAGUGCUAAUGGCUAUUAUGCUGAGGUGCCAGGCACAGAAAAACGACUGACCUCUGAGAUGGGGGUGUGGGUUCAUCCUAGGUCUAAGGGAGCAACGCAACACAAGGACAGGCUAGGGAAGAGCCCAGAGGGGGCUGUUUUGCUCUCA